Molecule: ribosomal RNA, 497 nt
Filed under: uncultured bacterium
Lineage: Bacteria
Description: partial 16S ribosomal RNA
Rfam family: Bacterial small subunit ribosomal RNA
Source: RNAcentral
GAUGAACGCUGGCGGCGUGCCUAAUACAUGCAAGUCGAGCGAACAGACGAGGAGCUUGCUCCUCUGACGUUAGCGGCGGACGGGUGAGUAACACGUGGAUAACCUACCUAUAAGACUGGGAUAACUUCGGGAAACCGGAGCUAAUACCGGAUAAUAUAUUGAACCGCAUGGUUCAAUAGUGAAAGACGGUUUUGCUGUCACUUAUAGAUGGAUCCGCGCCGCAUUAGCUAGUUGGUAAGGUAACGGCUUACCAAGGCAACGAUGCGUAGCCGACCUGAGAGGGUGAUCGGCCACACUGGAACUGAGACACGGUCCAGACUCCUACGGGAGGCAGCAGUAGGGAAUAUUCCGCAAUGGGCGAAAGCCUGACGGAGCAACGCCGCGUGAGUGAUGAAGGUCUUCGGAUCGUAAAACUCUGUUAGUAGGGAAGAACAAAUGUGUAAGUAACUAUGCACGUCUUGACGGUACCUAAUCAGAAAGCCACGGCUAACUACGUG